UUAGUUCUAAGUGAAUUCCCUCGGUAUGAUAAUUUGUUCAUCAGUUUGUUCCCCGUUUCUUCUCUAGCCUGAGCCUGACACACUAUUCUAGCUAGACAUGGGUGUGGCUCGUAACACCUGAUGACCAAACGGAUCUACGACACCAUCGAAUCUCAAACUUUAACUACCAAAACUAUUGUUUUUCAUCCUCUAGUCCCUUUUAGAAUUACUAAACGUCCUUUUUUGGGCCGAGAUUUCCAGGAACGCUUUCUCGGGGUUUGUGUGCAUGUAUUUCAAACCAUACAGACCUAAAAAUUAGAAGUCAUUCCAUCUUUAUUCCCGUAGAGCCUUCCAGCAGUUCCUAAACCGCUCCAGUCGGAGCAUGUUAUCAUUCUUGUUUGUUCUGAGUGAAUUCCCUCGGUAUGAUAAUUCUAUCAUCAGUUUGUUCCCCGUUUCUUCUCUAGCCUGAGCCUGGCAAACUAUUCNNNNNNNNNNNNNNNNNNNNNNNNNNNNNNNNNNNNNNNNNNNNNNNNNNNNNNNNNNNNNNNNNNNNNNNNNNNNNNNNNNNNNNNNNNNNNNNNNNNNNNNNNNNNNNNNNNNNNNNNNNNNNNNNNNNNNNNNCUAAACCGCUCUAGUCGGAGCACGUUAUCAUUCUUGUUAGUUCUGAGUGAAUUCCCUCGGUAUGAUAAUUCUUUCAUCAGUUUGUUCCCUGUUUCUUCUCUAGCCUGAGCCUGACACACUAUUCUAGCUAGACAUGGGUGUGGCUCGUAACACCUAAUGACCAAACGGAUCGACGGCACCAUCGAAUCUCAAACUUUAACUGCCAAAACUAUUGUUUUUCAUCCUGUUGUCCCAUUUAGAAUUACUAAACGUCCUUUUUUGGGCCGAGAUUUAGAGGAACGCUUUCUCGGGGUUUGUGUGCAAGUAUUUCAAACCAUACGGACCUAAAAAUUAGAAGUCAUUCCAUCUUUAUUCCCCUAGAGCCUUCCAGCAGUUCCUAAACCGCUCAAGUCAGAGCAUGUUAUCAUUCUUGUUAGUUCUGAGUGAAUUCCCUCGGUAUGAUAAUUCUUUCAUCAGUUUGUUCCCUGUUUCUUCUCUAGCCUGAGCCUGACACACUAUUCUAGCUAGACAUGGGUGUGGCUCGUAACACCUGAUGACCAAACGGAUCUACGACACCAUUGAAUCUCAAACUUUAACUACCAAAACUAUUAUUUUUCAUCCUGUAGUCCCUUUUAGAAUUACUAAACGUCCUUUUUUGGGCCGAGAUUUCCAAGAACGCUUUCUCGUGGUUUGUGUGCAAGUAUUUCAAACCAUACAGACCUAAAAAUUAGAAGUCAUUCCAUCUUUAUGCCCGUAGAGCCUUCCAGCAGUUCCUAAACCGCUCCAGUCGGAGCACGUUAUCAUUCUUAUUAGUUCUGAGUGAAUUCCCUCAGUAUGAUAAUUCUUUCAUAAGUUUGUUCCCCAUUUCUUCUCUAGCCUGAGCCUGGCACACUAUUCUAGCUAGACAUGGGUGUGGCUCAUAACACUUGUUGACUAAAUGGAUCGACGGCACCAUCGAAUCUCAAACUUUAACUGCCAAAACUAUUGUUUUUCAUCCUGUAGUCCCAUUUAGAAUUAUUAAACGUCCUUUUUUGGGCCGAUAUUUAGAGUAAUGCUUUCUCGGGGUUUGUCUGCAAGUAUUUCAAACCAUACGGACCUAAAAAUUAGAAGUCAUUCCAUCUUUAUUCCCCUAGAGCCUUCCAGCAGUUCCUAAACCGCUCUAGUCGGAGCACGUUAUCAUUCUUGUUAGUUCUGAGUGAAUUCCCUCAGUAUGAUAAUUCUUUCAUCUGUUUGUUCCCCGUUUCUUCUCUAGCCUGAGCCUGACACACUAUUCAAGCUAGACAUGGAUGUGGCUCGUAACACCUGAUGACCAAACGGAUCUACGGCACCAUCGAAUCCCAAACUUUAACUGCCAAAACUAUUGUUUUUCAUCCUGUAGUCCCUUUUAGAAUUACUAAACGUCCUUUUUUGGGCCGAGAUUUCCAGGAAUGCUUUCUCGGGGUUUGUGUGCAAGUAUUUCAAACCAUACAAAGCUAGAAAUUAGAAGUCAUUCCAUCUUUAUUAUCGUAGAGCCUUCCAGCAGUUCCUAAACCGGUCUAGUCGGAGCACGUUAUCAUUCUAGUUAGUUCUGAGUGAAUUCCCUCGGUAUGAUAAUUCUUUCAUCAGUUUGUUCCCCGUUUCUUCUCUAGCCUGAGCCUGACAAACUAUUCUAGCUAGACAUGCGUGUGGCUCGUAACACCUGAUGACCAAACGGAUCUAUAGCACCAUCGAAUCUCAAACUUUAACUGCCAAAACUAUUGUUUUCAUCCUGUAGUCCCUUUUAGAAUUACUAAACUUCCUUUUUUGGGCCGAGAUUUAGAGGAACGCUUUCUGGGGUUUGUGUGCAAGUAUUUCAAACCAUACAGACCUAAAAAUUAGAAGUCAUUCCAUCUUUAUUCCCCUAGAGCCUUCCAGCAGUUCCUAAACCGCUCUAGUCGGAGCACGUUAUCAUUAUUGUUAGUUCUGAGUGAAUUCCCUCGGUAUGAUAAUUCUUUCAUCAGUUUGUUCCCUGUUUCUUCUCUAUCCUGAGCCUGACACACUAUUCUAGCUAGACAUGGGUGUGGCUCGUAACACCUGAUGACUAAAUGGAUCGACGGCACCAUCGAAUCUCAAACUUUAACUGCCAAAACUAUUGUUUUUCAUCCUGUAGUCCCAUUUAGAAUUAGUAAACGUCCUUUUUUGGGCCGAGAUUUAGAGGAACGCUUUCUCGGGGUUUGUGUGCAAGUAUUUCAAACCAUACGGACCUAAAAAUUAGAAGUCAUUCCAUCUUUAUUCCCCUAGUCAUCAGGUAUACACUCAAGUCGGAGCACGUUAUCAUUCUUGUUAGUUCUGAGUGAAUUCCCUCGGUAUGAUAAUUCUUUCAUAAAUUUGUUCCCCGUUUCUUAUAUGGCCUGAGCCUGACACACUAUUCUAGCUAGACAUGGGUGUGGCUCGUAACACCUGAUGACCAAACGGAUCUACGGCACCAUCAAAUCUCAAACUUUAACUGCCAAAACUAUUCUUUUUCAUUCUGUAGUCCCUUCUAGAAUUACUAAACGUCCUUUUUUGGGCCGAGAUUUCCAGGAACGCUUUCUCGGGGUUUGUGUGCAUGUAUUUCAAACCAUACAGACCUAAAAAUUAUAAGUCAUUCCAUCUUUAUUCCCGUAGAGCCUUCCAGUAGUUCCUAAACCGCUCCAGUCGGAGCAUGUUAUCAUUCUUGUUAGUUCUAAGUGAAUUCCCUCGGUAUGAUAAUUCUUUCAUCAGUUUGUUCCCCGUUUCUUCUCUAGCCUGAGCCUGGCACACUAGUCUAGCUAGACAUGGGUGUGGCUCGUAACACCCGAUGACUAAAUGGAUCGACGGCACCAUCGAAUCUCAAACUUUAACUGCCAAAACUAUUGUUUUUCAUCCUGUAGUCCCAUUUAGAAUUACUAAACGUCCUUUUUUGGGCCGAGAUUUAGAGGAACGCUUUCUCGUGGUUUGUGUGCAAGAAUUUCAAACCAUACGGACCUAAAAAUUAGAAGUCAUUCCAUCUUUAUUCCCCUAGAGCCUUCCAGUAGUUCCUAAACCGCUCUAGUCGGAGCACGUUAUCAUUCUUGUUAGUUCUGAGAGAAUUCCCUCGGUAUGAUAAUUCUUUUAUCAGUUUGUUCCCCGUUUCUUCUCUAGCCUGAGCCCGACACACUAUUCUAGCUAGACAUGGGUGUGGCUCGUAACACCUGAUGACCAAACGGAUCUACGGCACCAUCGAAUCUCAAACUUUAACUGCCAAAACUAUUGUUUUUCAUCCUGUAGUCCCUUUUAGAAUUACUAAAUGUCCUUUUUUGGGCCGAGAUUUCCAGGAACGCUUUCUCAGGGUUUGUGUGCAAGUAAUUCAAACCAUACGGACCUAAAAAUUAGAAGUCAUUCCAUCUUUAUUCCCCUAGAGCCUUCCAGCAGUUCCUAAACCGCUCAAGUCAGUGCACGUUAUCAUUCUUGUUAGUUCUAAGUGAAUUCCCUCGGUAUGAUAAUUUGUUCAUCAGUUUGUUCCCCGUUUCUUCUCUAGCCUGAGCCUGACACACUAUUCUAGCUAGACAUGGGUGUGGCUCGUAACACCUGAUGACCAAACGGAUCUACGACACCAUCGAAUCUCAAACUUUAACUACCAAAACUAUUGUUUUUCAUCCUCUAGUCCCUUUUAGAAUUACUAAACGUCCUUUUUUGGGCCGAGAUUUCCAGGAACGCUUUCUCGGGGUUUGUGUGCAUGUAUUUCAAACCAUACAGACCUAAAAAUUAGAAGUCAUUCCAUCUUUAUUCCCGUAGAGCCUUCCAGCAGUUCCUAAACCGCUCCAGUCGGAGCAUGUUAUCAUUCUUGUUUGUUCUGAGUGAAUUCCCUCGGUAUGAUAAUUCUAUCAUCAGUUUGUUCCCCGUUUCUUCUCUAGCCUGAGCCUGGCAAACUAUUCUAGCUAGACAUGGGUGUGGCUCGUAACACCUGAUGACCAAACGGAUCUACGACACCAUCGAAUCUCAAACUUUAACUACCAAAACUAUUGUUUUUCAUUCUAUAGUCCCUUCUAGAAUUUCUAAACGUCCUUUUUUGGGCCGAGAUUUCCAGGAAUGCUUUCUCGGGGUUUGUGUGCAAGUAUUUCAAAUCAUACGGACCUAAAAAUUAGAAGUCAUUCCAUCUUUAUUCCCCUAGAGCCUUCCAGUAGUUCCUAAACCGCUCCAGUCGGAGCACGUUAUCAUUCUUGUUAGUUCAUAGUGAAUUCCCUCGGUAUGAUAAUUCUUUCAUCAGUUUGUUCCCCGUUUCUUCUCUAGCCUGAGCCUGGCACAGUAUUCUAGCUAGACAUGGGUGUGGUCGUAACACCUGAUGACUAAAUGGAUCGACGGCACCAUCGAAUCUCAAACUUUAACUGCCAAAACUAUUGUUUUUCAUCCUGUAAUCCCAUUUAGAAUUACUAAACGUCCUUUUUUGGGCCGAGAUUUAGAGGAACGCUUUGUUGGGGUUUGUGUGCAAGUAUUUCAAACCAUACGGACCUAAAAAUUAGAACUCAUUCCAUAUUUAUUCCCCUUGAGCCUUCCAGCAGUUCCUAAACCGCUCUAGUCGGAGCACGUUAUCAUUCUUGUUAGUUCUAAGAGAAUUCCCUCGGUAUGAUAAUUCUUUUAUCAGUUUGUUCCCCGUUUCUUCUCUAGACUGGGCCCGACACACUAUUCUAGCUAGACAUGGGUGUGGCUCGUAACACCUGAUGACCAAACGGAUCUACGGCACCAUCGAAUCUCAAACUUCAACUGCCAAAACUAUUGUUUUUCAUCCUGUAGUCCCUUUUAGAAUUACUAAACGUCCUUUUUUGGGCCGAGAUUUCCAGGAACGCUUUCUCGGGGUUUGUGUGCAAGUAUUUCAAACCAUACGGACCUAAAAAUUAGAAGUCAUUCCAUCUUUAUUCCCGUAGAGCCAUCCAGCAGUUCCUAAACCGCUCCAGUCGGAGCACGUUAUCAUUCUUGUUAGUUCUGAGUGAAUUCCCUCGGUAUGAUAAUUCUUUCAUCAGUUUGUUCCCCGUUUCUUCUCUAGCCUGAGCCUGACAAACUAUUAUAGCUAGACAUGGGUGUGGCUCGUAACACCUGAUGACCAAACGGAUCUAUGGCACCAUCGAAUCUCAAACUUUAACUGCCAAAACUAUUGUUUUUCAUCCUGUAGUCCCUUUUAGAAUUACUAAACGCCCUUCUUUGGGACGAGAUUUCCAGGAACGCUUUCUCGGGGUUUGUGUGAAAGUAAUUCAAACCAUACGGACCUAAAAAUUAGAAGUCAUUCCAUCUUUAUUCCCGUGGAGCCUUCCAGUAGUUCCUAAACCGCUCCAGUCGGAGCACGUUAUCAUUCUUGUUAGUUCUGAGUGAAUUCCCUCGGUAUGAUAAUUCUUUCAUCAGUUUGUUCCCUGUUUCUUCUCUAGCCUGAGCCUGGCACACUAUUCUAGCUAGACAUGGGUGUGGCUCGUAACACCUGAUGACUAAACUGAUCAAUGACACCAUCGAAUCUCAAACUUUAACUGCCAAAACUAUUGUUUUUCAUCCUGUAGUCCCAUUUAGAAUUACUAAACGUCCUUUUUUGGGCCGAGAUUUCCAGGAACGCUUACUCGGGGUUUGUGUGCAAGUAUUUCAAACCAUACUGACCUAAAAAUUAGAAGUCAAUCCAUCUUUAUUCCCCUAGAGCCUUCCAGCAGUUCCUAAACCGCUCCAGUCGGAGCACGUUAUCAUUCUUGUUAGUUCUGAGUGAAUUCCCUCGGUAUGAUAAUUCUUUCAUCAGUUUGUUCCUUGUUUCUUCUCUAGCCUGAACCUGACACACUAUUCUAGCUAGACAUGGGUGUGGCUCGUAACACCUGAUGACCAAACGGAUCUACGGCACCAUCGAAUCUCAAACUUUAACUGCCAAAACUAUUAUUUUUAAUCCUCUAGUCCCAUUUAGAAUUACUAAACGUCCUUUUUUGGGCCGAGAUUUAGAGGAACGCUUUCAUGCGGUUUGUGUGCAAGUAUUUCAAACCAUACGGACCUAAAAAUUAGAAGUCAUUCCAUCUUUAUUCCCCUAGAGCCUUCCAGCAGUUCCUAAACCGCUCCAGUCGGAGCAUGUUAUCAUUCUUGUUAGUUCUGAGUGAAUUCCCUCGGUAUGAUAAUUCUUUCAUCAGUUUGUGGCCCGUUUCUUCUCUAGCCUGAGCCUGACACACUAUUCUAGCUAGACGUGGGUGUGGCUCGUAACACCUGAUGACCAAACGGAUCUACGGCACCAUCGAAUCUCAAACUUUAAGUGCCAAAACUAUUAUUUUUAAUCCUGUAGUCCCAUUUAGAAUUAC
Molecule: long non-coding RNA, 6848 nt
Filed under: Triticum aestivum (bread wheat)
Lineage: Eukaryota; Viridiplantae; Streptophyta; Magnoliopsida; Poales; Poaceae
Description: long non-coding RNA (TAES_LNC028121)
Source: RNAcentral